This 253-nucleotide ribosomal RNA is filed under the name uncultured bacterium. RNAcentral describes it as "partial 16S ribosomal RNA". It matches the Rfam family "Bacterial small subunit ribosomal RNA", at positions 524 to 776 of the family's 1533-position model. The record is from RNAcentral.
UACGUAGGGUGCGAGUGUUGUCCGGAAUUAUUGGGCGUAAAGGGCUCGUAGGCGGUUUGUUGCGUCGGAAGUGAAAACUCAGGGCUUAACCCUGAGCCUGCUUCCGAUACGGGCAGACUAGAGGUAUGCAGGGGAGAACGGAAUUCCUGGUGUAGCGGUGAAAUGCGCAGAUAUCAGGAGGAACACCGGUGGCGAAGGCGGUUCUCUGGGCAUUACCUGACGCUGAGGAGCGAAAGUGUGGGGAGCGAACAGG